AUUGAACGCUGGCGGUAUGCUUAACACAUGCAAGUCGAACGGUAGCAGUGUCUUCGGACAGCUGACGAGUGGCGGACGGGUGAGUAAUACAUAGGAAUCUACCUUUUUGACGGGGAUAACCAGAGGAAACUCUAGCUAAUACCGGAUACGCCCGAAAGGGGAAAGCAGGGGAUCGCAAGACCAUACGCUGAAAGAUGAGCCUAUGUUGGAUUAGCUAGUUGGUGGGGUAAAGGCCUACCAAGGGAACGAUCAGUAGCUGGUCUGAGAGGACGACCAGCCACACUGGAACUGAGACACGGUCCAGACUCCUACGGGAGGCAGCAGUGGGGAAUUUUGGACAAUGGGGGCAACCCUGAUCCAGCAAUGCCGCGUGAGUGAAGAAGGCCUUCGGGUUGUAAAGCUCUUUUGUCAGGGAAGAAAAGGUUCGGGCUAAUAUCCCGGGUUCAUGACGGUACCUGAAGAAUAAGCACCGGCUAACUACGCGCCAGCAGCCGCCGUAA
This 500-nucleotide ribosomal RNA is filed under the name uncultured bacterium. Its description in RNAcentral is "partial 16S ribosomal RNA". It matches the Rfam family "Bacterial small subunit ribosomal RNA", at positions 30 to 523 of the family's 1533-position model. The record is from RNAcentral.